UUUUUUUAAUUUUUUAUCAUGCAACCUGAUUAUCCCAAUAAUUUAAGAGGAAAUUUGUGGUUUGGACAGUUUUUUUUUAAAAGUAAUAUGUGGUUUGGCCCCUUUACUGUUUACAAUUGGGGAAACACAACAAACCCAACUAUUGCUUUUCUUUUCUAUUUUUUUGUUUUUUUUUAAUUUUUUUUUUCUCUUUUUUUUUUCUCUCUUUCCUAAAUCUUAUAAACACAAAUUUAUUACACUUUUUUCGUUCAAAAAUUUAUCUAAAUAUGUUAUUAAUCUUUAGAACUUUUUCUCCAAUCUUUAAAGACCAAUUUUGAUAUAUUUUGCAAAUAUAAAAAGUUUUAUUUUUUCAUAUUUAAUAUAUUCGUAUUCUAUGUUCAGUGUUCAUAUUCUUUGUAGCAUGUUUGUACUCUGCUCUUUUGUGGUAUUCGUAUUCCCUUUCUGGUAUUCAUACUCCCUUAUGGUGUUUGUACUCCAUUCCUGCUGUUUGUAUUCUCCUUAUGGUCUACGUUUAAUAUGCUCUUAUCCUUAUGUUG
Molecule: long non-coding RNA, 536 nt
Filed under: Capsella rubella
Lineage: Eukaryota; Viridiplantae; Streptophyta; Magnoliopsida; Brassicales; Brassicaceae
Description: long non-coding RNA (CRUB_LNC003156)
Source: RNAcentral